This 305-nucleotide ribosomal RNA is filed under the name uncultured bacterium. RNAcentral's name for it is "bacterial SSU rRNA". It matches the Rfam family "Bacterial small subunit ribosomal RNA", at positions 335 to 657 of the family's 1533-position model. The record is from RNAcentral.
CACCUACGGGACGCAGCAGUGGGGGAUAUUGCACAAUGGGGGGAACCCUGAUGCAGCGACGCCGCGUGGGUGAAGAAGCGCCCCGGCGCGUAAAGCCCUGUCAGCAGGGAAGAAGAAGGACGGUACCUGACCAAGAAGCCCCGGCUAACUACGUGCCAGCAGCCGCGGUAAUACGUAGGGGGCAAGCGUUAUCCGGAUUUACUGGGUGUAAAGGGAGCGUAGACGGUGCGCCAAGUCUGGAGUGAAAUGCCGCAGCUUAACUGCGGAACUGCUUUGGAAACUGGCGAACUAGAGUGCGGGAGGGG